RNAcentral lists this transfer RNA (77 nucleotides) under Burkholderiales bacterium. RNAcentral's name for it is "tRNA-Ile". It matches the Rfam family "tRNA". Rfam says of the family: Transfer RNA (tRNA) molecules are approximately 80 nucleotides in length. Their secondary structure includes four short double-helical elements and three loops (D, anti-codon, and T loops). RNAcentral also lists the same sequence under 2 other names. Lineage: Bacteria; Pseudomonadati; Pseudomonadota; Betaproteobacteria; Burkholderiales. The record is from RNAcentral.
GGGCCGCUAGCUCAGUCGGUUAGAGCAGAGGACUCAUAAUCCUUUGGUCCGGGGUUCGAGCCCCCGGCGGCCUACCA